ACUUGGGAUAGCUCAGUUGAUAAGAGAAUGCGACUCCUAAUCUCAGGGUUGUGGGUUUGAGACCCAUACUGGGCA
Molecule: non-coding RNA, 75 nt
Organism: Podarcis lilfordi (Lilford's wall lizard)
Lineage: Eukaryota; Metazoa; Chordata; Lepidosauria; Squamata; Lacertidae
Source: the annotation of a GenBank genome assembly